AGUGUUUCUACAAAUUCAUGCAUGUGUCGAAUGCAUGUAUGGACAUUAAAGGCUAGUCCAUGAAUGGAUCAAAUGCAUGGGAUGAUAGAAUGCAUGAAUCUUCACAGACCAAGAACUACGAGAUCGCCCCUUUCAUUCUGGGGUGACGGAGGGAUCGUACCAUUCGAGCCUUUUUUUUUCAUGCUUUUCCCGGAGGUCCGGAGAAAGCUGCAAUCAAUAGGAUUUUCCUAAUCCUCCCUUCCCGAAAGGAAGAACGUGAAAUUCUUUUUCCUUUCCGCAGGGACCAGGAGAUUGGAUCUAGCCGUAAGAAGAAUGCUUGGCUGAUAAAUAAUUCACUUCUUGGUCUUCGACCCCCUCAGUCACUACGAACGCCCCCGAUCAGUGCAAUGGGAUGUGUCUAUUUAUCUAUCUCUUGACUCAAAAUGGGAGCAGGUUUGAAAAAGGAUCUUAGAGUGUUUAGGGUUGGGCCAAGAGGGUCUCUUAACGCCCUCUUUUUUUUUCUUCCCAUCGGAGUUAUUUCUUAUUUCACAAAUACUUGCCAUGGUAAGGAAGAAGGGGGGAUUAAGUGCAUGUAUGGUGGCUAUCUCUUAACUUUCCAAGGCACUUAUUCGGCCAAGAAAUAGCUGCUAACUAAUUCUAUGUUGACCAUAGAGCUCCUUGAACAUGUUCACACUUUGAAUUGACCUAUAGGCUACUACACAUGCAUGGAUGGGUUCAAGAACGUCCAAGGGAAGGAAUUAACUCAAUAAUUCAACACAUUGAUUGAAUUAAGUGCAUGCACAAAGGGGAGAAUGAAUUUACUAGGUUCAUGCUACCAUUUAUGAACUUACAUGCCAUUAAAGUGUUUAAUUAUGAAGAUACAUGGUCCAUACAAGUGCAUGAACGUCCCAAGGAGAUGAAUGCAACCUUUUGGUGCACAUACAAGUCACUUGAAGCCUUUUUUUAUGACUAAGCAUUCAUGCACAAACUAAGGGGGAAGAAAGUGUCCAUUCAGCUAGUGCAUGAAUCUGCCGAAUUUAUGAACUAUUUUAACACAUUAGUGUGAACGUUUUUAUUAUUGUGUGAACACCUAGAUGCCGAAUUUGAAUGGUCAUCUAUGUGCCUAUAAAUAUUUGUUUUCUUUCAUUUGUAAAGGACUUUUGACUUUUGAUCAUUUGAAUGAACUUUGUUCAAAGAGUGAGUUUUCUCCUCUCUAAAUUCGUACGAGUUUUGAUCUGACUUAUCUAGCGUGCUAGUGGCGUCUAUCGUUCUCUUUUGAACUUAUCACCUUGCUUUGGUGUGGCGUUCAACCUUCUACAAUUCCGUAAUCCCACCUUGAACCGAAUAGAAAUCGGGGUGACACUUUUAGUGUUGAAUCGUUUCUGGUGUUUAAGCUCAUUUAUCCAUUCCACCGACUAUCUUAGAUUUUACCCAACUAUAAUAUCUUUUUACAAAACCGAGCCUUCAUUUAUCAACUUCUAUUUUUCUUAUUUUUAUACUUAAAUCGAGCCUACUACCCUUAUAAAUUUACCAUCACCUUAGCCAACCUUUAAAACCAUUUGAAAGCUUCCGCAUCUUUAGCCUUAUUUCAUCCUAUUUCUGAUAACUCAACUAUUCCUCAUCGACGAUCGGGCAAUCAAGUGAAUCGACUCAAUCAACCGAGCCAGAUCACAUCAACUUGUAUGGAACAUGUAUCUUCAUAAUUAAACACUUUAAUGGCAUGUAGGUUCAUAAAUGGUAGCAUGAAGCUAGUAAAUUCUUUCUCCCUUUUGUGCAUGCAGUUAAUUCAAUUAAUGUAUUGAAUUAUUGAGUUAAUUCCUUCCUUUGGACGUUCUUGAACCCAUCCAUGCAUGUGUAGUAGCUUAUAGGUCAAUUCAAAGUGUGAACAUGUUCAAGGAGCUCUAUGGUCAACAUAGAAUUAGUUAGCAGUUACUUCUUAGCCGAAUAAGUGCCUUGGAAAGUUAAGAGACAGCCACCAUACAUGCACUUAAGCCAUUCAUGCAUUCUAUCAUCCCAUGCAUUUGAUCCAUUCAUGGACUAGCCUUUAAUGUCCAUACAUGCAUUUGACACAUGCAUGAAUUUGUAGAAACCUUGCAUCUAGCCGUACAUGCACCAGCAUUUAAUACUUCUUCAUUCAUGAGUGUGGAAUGCCCAAAAGAGAUGUUUCUUCAUCCAUACAUUAUGCCGUCCUUGAUUAUUGUAUCUAAAAAAAAAUCAAAUUAUGAGACAUCAUGUGAACACAGUAAUGUCAUGCAUUAAAUUGGCUAAAAUGUGAACAUAAUUAAAAUAUGUAAUAACUAUGACAUAUUAAAACAAAUAUUAAUAUAAGUCAAAUUUGAUGCUUAAAUAAUUAUGUUUAGAUUUUAUUUAAUGUAUUAAGUCUAAAACCGGGUUUGAGCUAAAAUGAGCUAAGCUUUAGUCCUUAAGCUAAAGUUGAGCUGAGAUUAUACUCCUAAGCUGAAGUUGAGCUAAGGUGAUACGAACCGCCUCGGGGAGAGUCGAGUCGUAUGUGAGUUUGCCCGAUCAUCUACGAGAAAGUAUCGUUCGGUUUGUUCAAAAAAGAUGUUUCUAAAUAAAUUAUGCGGAAGCUAUUCAAGGGGUUCAAAUGAAGGGUUUAAAAAAUAUGAAUAUUAAGGUUCGGUUUAAAGUAAAUGAAAGAAUGGAAAGAAGGAACUCAAAAGCAAGCACGAACCAAUAUUAGAAAAUAUCGACCCAAAUGCUUAUAGGCUUUCAAGGUGAAAAUGAAAAUAAUAGAACCUCGACCCCCUACUUAGCAAAGUAGGAACCUCGGUAUAAGGGUGAAAGAAACAGGGUUGAUGCCACUACUAGGUAGAUUAGUCAACAAAGUCUCAAACAAAGUUUAGAGAAGAAAAUUCUCACAAGAUUAAAUUCAAUAAAAAAUUUGGCAAAAAGUCCUUUACAAAUGAAAGAAAACAAAUAUUUAUAGGCACAUAGAUGACCAUUCAAAUUCGGCAUCUAGGUGUUCACACAAUAAUAAAAACGUUCACACUAAUGUAUUAAAAUAGUUCAUAAAUUCGGCAGAUU
This 3024-nucleotide long non-coding RNA is filed under the name Gossypium barbadense (sea-island cotton). RNAcentral's name for it is "long non-coding RNA (GBAR_LNC007217)". Lineage: Eukaryota; Viridiplantae; Streptophyta; Magnoliopsida; Malvales; Malvaceae. The record is from RNAcentral.